AUAUAUCCUAGGUGGCACAACAAGAGAUUGAAAAAAUCUGCGCAGAUUGUUUUACAUACCUCAAUAGAGCCUUUUAUAUAAUUCUGAGUGACUAAUUUCUUUCAGCCUGUUUAGACAGGAUUAGAUCGAACUGAGAAUCUCUCCUAACAUAAUUACGUGAUUAUCUUGGGAUUCUUCUUUUGUUGCUCAUCUUGAUACAUCACAUCAGUUGGAAGAGAAAAUCUGUCGAAUUAUACAUGUCGAGUUCUAGAAUUUUGUGAAUGUAAGCACACAGUCUUUGAGAUGUAAGAACUUUAUGACAUAAUUAUGAAGAUAAACAUUGAUCCUCACAUCUGCUCUGUCAAACUAAGCGUAAGUGGUUCACAGUCUGUACCACAGCUAAAUUUAAAAACCUAUAGGUCUAGCCAGGCGCGGUGGCUCACGCCUGUAAUCCCAGCACUUUGGGAGGCCAAGGCGGGCGGAUCACGAGGUCAGGAGAUCGAGACCAUCCUGGCUAACACGGUGAAACCCCGUCUGUACUAAAAGAAUACAAAAAAUUAGCCGGGCGUGGUGGCGAGCUACUCAGGAGGCUGAGGCAGGAGAAUGGCGUGCACCCGGGAGGCGGAGCUUGCAGUGAGCCGAGAUCCCACCACUGCACUCCAACCUGGGCGACAGAGCGAGACUCCGUCUCAAAAAAAUAAAUAAAUAAAAACAAAAAAAAAAAAACCUAUAAGUCUACAUAUUUUUUAUACCGGCUAACUGUGACCAGAUGACACAGCCUGGACACCAAAACAUAAAAGUCUUCUAUAAGAUUUCUAAAAGUAUA
Molecule: long non-coding RNA, 805 nt
Organism: Pan troglodytes (chimpanzee)
Lineage: Eukaryota; Metazoa; Chordata; Mammalia; Primates; Hominidae
Source: Ensembl